Bombus pascuorum is the source of this 1308-nucleotide long non-coding RNA. RefSeq lists it as uncharacterized. The record is from RefSeq and is a predicted model, not a curated record. The transcript has 3 exons. NCBI's taxonomy places the organism in Eukaryota, Metazoa, Arthropoda, Insecta, Hymenoptera, Apidae.
CUUAUAAGUAAGUAAUCUACUAUUAUGAAAUUCAGAAACAUAUAACAACGUUCUUUGGUCUCGCACAAUUUGGAAAUCCGCUCUUUGAAAUCGCACAGAAGUUCGCGCCUGCUCCGAGCGUUUGUUUUCUACCCACCGAUACGAAAACAGGUUACAAAGCAAAACAGUUUGGAAAAAAGGAAGAGAAAACGAUGACGAAGAAUUUAUGCAGAAUAUAAAGUUGCGACUGUGAUCGGGAUCCAGCUACACUUUUCAGAAGUGGCUUUGUGUUUUCUCGAAACGCACACGUUUGCACACAAUGUAACUACGAUUCGUGGCUUCGUACACGAAAACGAUUCCUGAGAAACGGCAACAUCCAUCUUCAAGGCAGACAAACAAUGGAAAAAGAUGUUUCUAAAAUAAUAUUUGCGAUUCGUUCGAAGAGAGAGAGAGAGAGAGAGAGAGAGAGAGAAAGGGAGAGAGAGAGAGAGAGAGAGAGAAAGAUCACCAGAAUAGCGAUCACAGUCUUUUAAUACUUAUGGUCGUGGGUGUGUCUGUUAAACGAAACGCGACCUCCACACCCCGUUAAACGCCCCGAAUGAAAAACCGUACAAAUCGUUCAGUUUCAGCCGCUUGACACGUGUCUGACACAACGACGAGAACAAUCAGCUUAGUUCUGCAGUGCAUUCGGCGCGAAAGAGCAGCACUUCGCAAGGGAGAUCAUUGAUCUAUCAGAGUGGCUGUCGAAAAUCUUGUAAAACAAUUACUUGAAAGCAACAUUGGCAGAGGAACUCUUCCCAUCUUUAACAUUCGAAACAGUGAAGAUAAUUCACAGGGAUUAUUUGGUUUCGAUCGAGAAACGAGGAAAAAUCAAUAAUACUUUCCAGUAGAAAACGAAAACGAUAAAGAAGAAUGACUUCGAGCGACAGAGAGGAAAAAGGAAAAUUGUAAGAAGAGGACAGAAGAGGGCUAACGGAAAGGAUUCUUUCAAUUAGUUUGUCGACUCUUGAGAUUCCAGUUAAUCGACUCUCUUCUCGGACGUCUGCUACUCUAAUGAUCGUUCACAUUGAGAGAGACGUUGGAUGGUUUCUCCAUUAUGCAAGAAGUUGAACGCAUCCAUAUUGAUAAGCCAAGUUCUUGGAUUCUCCGUAAUAUGUACUUCAAAAACGUUUCGAUAAAUCUUUACGGUGCGUUCAGACCAAGUCUUGCUUCGCCUUAGCAAAAAUUCGGCGAUAGAAUGCACGUCUGCAGUUUCGAUUUGCUAAAUUUUACCAACGUCAGGGAAAAACGAGUAUUCGCUUGGUCGUACCAUUGGAUUAAAUCUGUAGA